AACGCGAAGAACCUUACCUACCCUUGACAUGCCAGGAAGCCCGCUGAGAGGUGGGUGUGCCCGAAAGGGAGCCUGGACACAGGUGCUGCAUGGCUGUCGUCAGCUCGUGUCGUGAGAUGUUGGGUUAAGUCCCGCAACGAGCGCAACCCUUGUCACUAGUUGCUACGCAAGGGCACUCUAGUGAGACUGCCGGUGACGAACCGGAGGAAGGUGGGGAUGACGUCAAGUCCUCAUGGCCCUUAUGGGUAGGGCUUCACACGUCAUACAAUGGCGCAUACAAAGGGCUGCCAACCCGCGAGGGGGAGCCAAUCCCAGAAAGUGCGUCGUAGUCCGGAUUGCAGUCUGCAACUCGACUGCAUGAAGUCGGAAUCGCUAGUAAUCGCGGAUCAGCAAUGUCGCGGUGAAUACGUUCCCGGGUCUUGUACACACCG
This 431-nucleotide ribosomal RNA is filed under the name uncultured bacterium. Its description in RNAcentral is "bacterial SSU rRNA". It matches the Rfam family "Bacterial small subunit ribosomal RNA", at positions 958 to 1392 of the family's 1533-position model. The record is from RNAcentral.